Molecule: ribosomal RNA, 460 nt
Filed under: uncultured bacterium
Lineage: Bacteria
Description: partial 16S ribosomal RNA
Rfam family: Bacterial small subunit ribosomal RNA
Source: RNAcentral
CCUACGGGUGGCAGCAGUGAGGAAUAUUGGUCAAUGGACGAGAGUCUGAACCAGCCAAGUAGCGUGAAGGAUGACUGCCCUAUGGGUUGUAAACUUCUUUUAUAUGGGAAUAAAACGUUCCACGUGUGGGAUUUUGUAUGUACCAUAUGAAUAAGGAUCGGCUAACUCCGUGCCAGCAGCCGCGGUAAUACGGAGGAUCCGAGCGUUAUCCGGAUUUAUUGGGUUUAAAGGGAGCGUAGGUGGAUUUUUAAGUCAGUUGUGAAAGUUGGCGGCUCAACCGUAAAAUUGCAGUUGAAACUGGCAGUCUUGAGUACAGUAGAGGUGGGCGGAAUUCGUGGUGUAGCGGUGAAAUGCUUAGAUAUCACGAAGAACUCCGAUUGCGAAGGCAGUUCACUGGACUGCAACUGACACUGAGGCUCGAAAGUGUGGGUAUCAAACAGGAUUAGAUACCCCUGUAGUC